UGCUUAUUUGCCCUCUGUAGUUUUGUUUUUGAGUUAGACUCCUGCUAUGUCGCUCAGGGUAGCCUCAAAGUCUUGGGCUCAGGUGAUCCUCCUGCCUCAGCCUCCUGAGUAGCUGAGACUAUAGGUGUGUAUCAUUGUAGCUAGCUGGCCUCUGUACAUCUUCUGUGGCAUAAUUCGAACGUGUAUUUCAAAUAUUUUUUGCCUAUUUUGUGCUAAAUUGUUUGUUGUAUUAAAUUUUAAGUGUUCUUUAGAUAUAUGAUUUGUAAUUGUUUCUUCCCCAGCCAGUGGCUUAUGUUUUCAUUCUCUUAAAAGUAUCUUUUGAGAAGUAAAUGUUUUAUAUUAUAUGUUCAGUUUGUCAAUUUACUUUUUUUGAUAGGUCAUAUGUUUGGUGUACCAUCUAAGCUGUCUGCAUCCAAUUCACAGCCACACAAUUUCUCCUAUGUACACUUUAAAUAUGUGCAUUUUAUGUCUGUGAUCAGUCAGUAAAGCCAAGGGUCUUCAAGUAGUCCUCUUUCAACAGAGAAAAAUAGAAUUUGUUAGUAUUUAUUAGUAAUUUAAUUCUGUGAAUUUUUUAAAAAAGUAAUGAGUGUUUGGAAAGGAAAGGGCUUUUGAGUGAGACCUGAGAUCAGAGCUUGGUUCUACCACUUCCUUCUGGUACAUUCUCAGAUAAGUCACUUAACCAGUUUCCUAUAUAACCCAGGAGUAGUAACCACAGAUUACAGAUCUAUAAUGAUUAAAAAAGAAGUAUUUGUAAAGACAUUCCUAAAGAGCCUUGCCUUACACAGGAGCUCAGGAAUUGUGUUUUCUCUUCUAUCCUAGGUCACUAGAGUCCCAAAGGUGGCCUGUUAAUACCUAUGAGUGACUCUGACACAGUGUGACCCUAAGGAAGGGUGCAAUGCCAGAUGUCCCCAAACCCGAGGGGCAGGUUCCAUGAGCAGGUCCAUUAUAAAGCCGGCCUGGGGGUUUAGGGUUCAGAGCAAAGUCAUUUUUAUUUUACUGAAAAUUUCAGAGGCAGUUACAUUAGUUAUACAUAUACACACCGACUUAAUAACUGUUAGUCAUGGAGAACAUUCAAGAAUUACAAACAAUGACUUAUCCACAGCACAGUUCACAUCCAUAAGAAGAAAGGUUAAGAGAGAGAUGAUUAAGUGCUUGUUGUUCACUGAAACCUGCUUGUGAGAUCUUUUAAGAAAACUGAUUGUUAGAUGAAGCAAGCUGCUCUGCUCCUGCCCAGCCUGUCAAGCCUGGGUUUUGCUAGUUGGUAGCCCCUGGGCUUUGGCUGGUUUCUGGACCAUAAAGCAGCUCUGGCCAUGAGACCCAGGUGUGCGGUGUGAAAAUGUGCGCAUGCCCUGUGUGGCACCUCUUCCAGUUCCCCUGGACCCCAGGCAGCGGUGCAGGCAGACAUGAGGGUGCUUAUGGUUCCUGGUGCAUGAGAUCCAGUAGGGAUGGGGAAGCUGGACUCCUAGCAGAGGUUCGGACCAGCAACAUCCUGACCAGCCCCCUUUCCAGUAAUACAAAGAGCGCAUAUGUUCUAUCACUGGCCACCUGGCUGGUUCCUGUUUAAGUGACAGGUGAUAACUGUUAUGAGCAGAUGGCCCUCAUGGGUGAGCAGGCAUGGUUUGCACACAGCUCAUGGCUGGCCCUUGUGUGUGGGACAGCGAGCCUUCCUCAAUGCCUGGGGCCUGCCUCCUCCUGUGCCAAGCUGUUUGGAGAACUGAUACUGGCAGGUGUGGCUAACCUGGGGACAUAAUCGCUGUACUGAUGCAGCAGACCCCAGUGUAAGCUGUUAGGGACUGGCACCUCCCCUCCCCACGGCACUGUUCUCUAGUAAUGAAGUAACCAGAGGGCUGAACCUGAUAUGUUGGGAAGUGAAGGAGAACGUGGCUCCUGUGAUGGCCUCUCGCUCCCCGAACAGAGCUAACAACAAAGCCAGAGCAGAGGGACAUGCAGGCAGCGUGUUCUAGAACCUUCCCAGCCACUAUCACCAUUACUGGCCAGUCCUGGUGGCGCCUCAGUAUGUUGUCGCUGAUGGCAGUGACGGUGGGACCCUCAGCCUGAGGAGAAGCUGGGGAACAUCCAGGAGACAGGAACCAACUCACUGCUACAGGAAGCCCCAUGCCUCCCCUUUCUCAUCUGGCAAUGACCCGUCUCUGGCAGGGAGGGGGCCUGGCUGGGCACGGGCUGCAGGCCAAGCAGACAUCAGGGCCCACCAGCACCAUGGCCUCCUGGGCCAGCCAGAUGGGUAUGGGGGAUUCUUUUCCAAACCAGGUCACUAAGCCCAGUUCAGGGGUGUGUUCUUAUGCCCUGGUGAGCUCCGCCCCAGUCCUAGGCUUCUCCCUGUCACUCCUCAUCUACUUUCUUACUGUCUACAAGACGGCUUCUGAGAAUCACAAUGAAAUGCAGAGUGGGGACAGAAAAGACAUGGGGCUCAUACCCACCCAUCAGACUCCACUCUGGUCACGCCCAACUCCCAGGACAAGACAGGGAGGGAGGAGGUCAGGCCUUGGUGGUUGGUGAUCACUACUCUCCUUAUGCCGUGCCUCCCAGGACCAGGAAUCCUUCACUGCUGAGGUCAGAGAAGCAGAUGGGAGGUGGGUGGGAGCAAGGUUUUCUCUGCUGGUUACAGAUCCCUCAGGGUCCAGCACAGACCACCAGGGGCAGCAGCACAGUCGGCUGCUCUCUGGUGCCCCCAACUGUCCUCUGACAUGCAGAGGGCAGAAGUGAACCUUCCAAACUCACAAGCUAAAGGCCACACCAAGUCUAUUUCCCUUUCACCAAGAAAUACUUCUUUGCUCCUAAAGCUAUUUUUAUGCCUUUUUUGGGGGGAAAGAUUAUGCUUGUUGCCCAGAGCAAGCCCAGCGCUAGGCACUGAGAGGGUGCUGGUUGGCACCAGGAGCCCAAGCUGGGGCUGCCCGUGGUUACUCCCAUUUCCCCAGCAGCAAGAGCUCCUCUGAGGACAGAGCAAACACAUGCAUCUACACCCAGGACCCGAUUACCACUGUCUACAUGAGGACUAAAAGCUGCUUCUACAGACUUCAGGGCUGGCCCUCAGCUGGUCUCAGAAUGGGGACCACAGAAGGCCAGGUCCCAGGGGAGGGCAUCCUGCUGAGGAAGGCUGGCUUUUGACAGGUCAAAAGGCCUGGGCACCAGGCAGCGCUCCCAGGGGGCCAGAGCAACGGCCCUACUCCUCCCUGUACUUGGGCUUCCUCCAUUCAUUCAUUUUCCUGACCUCUGGGACCUAUUGGCAAGGACACGGUGCUGUGCAGUGUCUGCAGGGACUCUUGGAGGGACCACAGCUCUCCCAAGGGUGGGCUCCUCUGUCCCACGUGGGCAUCAGAGGGCUGAUGGGUGGCAGUGGGAAAACAAGGUGACUGGUGGGAAAAGAGGCCAACAAGGGAGACGGAGACAGCCCUCACCUGGGAAAGGUGCAGGAGGAUGCAGGGGACUAUAAAAGCCAAACACAGUAAGCCAGGGACCUUGGGCUAAGUGGGCAGCAGGCGGAGGCUUCUGGAAGUCAGCCAGUACUCCUGUUUUGAGUAAACCGAGGACUCAGGGCCCCAGAGACUAUGUGGGAGGAGCCCAGUCCACUGCCUCACAGACCUGCACUCUCUGUGUCCCUCUGGGGGACAGAGCAUCAGGUGCCCUCUCCACACAACAGCUGCUCCUGUCCACUCCAGGACAUGGCCCAGGAGGCCAGGCAUUCUGUCCCUGCUGUCAGUGAGAGAUGUAAAUGAUGCCUGGGGCUCUGAGAGGAGGAAAGGCUGCUUCUCUUGCAUGGAGGAGCUUGGUUCUGAAGCAGAGGCACAGACCAAAUAACUGACCCCUCACAGUGAGUAGGUCCCCAGCCCCGGCUCCUGGUGACACUGUGGAAGGGCCAGCCUGUCGGUCCCCCUCCCUGCCGCCCUGAGCCAGCAUUCUUGGUGAGGGCACUGCUGAGCACUGGGAGGGGCAGGGGGUGCGUAUUCUCGUUCUUACCCUCCUUAUGGUCUGGAUUCUACGACCCACUCUGGCCACACACAACAGACACGAGGCACAACACACAAAACACACACAUGUGUCUCACCACACAAAGCACAAACAUCCACGUCACAAUGGGCCCACAGGCACAGCAGCAGGGCAGUGGGCAUCCCCAAGUCCCCACACUCCUCGGCUCCAGGGUGUGACAAAGGCCCUGACUCUCCCUGCCUCUUAUCCCACCCCAGGCCACCAGCUAGCAGGUGUGAAAAGCAAGCAGAAGCCAUUCCAGAGUCCCAGGCAGGCCCGCUGCUGCUCUGAGUUUCAAGUGAACUCCUCCUGGUGUACAUGCACGCUUACAAGGGACUAUUCAUAGCUGAGUGUGAGGGCCAGAGAGCUCACCUCCUGAGCACACACAGAUAAAAUGCAAUAAAUACAACCAAGCCCCAGACGUCCAGCAGGGCCCUGGUCAGUAGCAACAGAGAAGCCAGAGCUGUGGGUGAGAGCGAGUAGCGCCAUGCCUGGGGGUGCGCAGGGGGUGAGGGCACUGUGGUGGGGUCCUGCAGCAGGGCAAGCUGGUGUCGAUGUCACAGCGCGGUGGUGGCCCUGCACAGGGAGCCUUGCUCUGCCCACAGCUACUCAGAAAAGGGUGGGAACAUGCCUAGGUCGGCAAAGUCCUCGAUGUUAUAGUUGCCAGUCCCCUGGGUUGGGUCUCCUGGCAUAGGCAGCAUGUCCUGCAGAAGAAAAGAAAGCAAGCCAUGGGGGUCAGUGUCU
RNAcentral lists this long non-coding RNA (4728 nucleotides) under Heterocephalus glaber (naked mole-rat). RNAcentral's name for it is "lncRNA (ENSHGLG00000034761.1)". The record is from RNAcentral. Lineage: Eukaryota; Metazoa; Chordata; Mammalia; Rodentia; Bathyergidae.